GAUGAACGCUGGCGGCGUGCCUAAUACAUGCAAGUCGAGCGAACAGACGAGGAGCUUGCUCCUCUGACGUUAGCGGCGGACGGGAGAGUAACACGUGGAUAACCUACCUAUAAGACUGGGAUAAUUUCGGGAAACCGGAGCUAAUACCGGAUAAUAUAUUGAACCGCAUGGUUGAAUAGUGAAAUACGGUUUUGCUGUCUGUUAUCGAUGGAUCCGCGCCGCAUUGGCUAGUUGGUAAGGUAACGGCUUACCAAGGGAACGAUGCGUAGCCGACCUGAGAGGGUGAUCGGCCACACUAGAACUGAGCCACGGUCCAGACUACUACGGGAGGCAGCAGUAGGGAAUCUUCCGCAAUGGUCGGAAACUUGACGGAGCAACGCCGCGUGAGUGAUGAAGGUCUUCGGAUCGUAUAACUCUGUUAUUAGGGAAGAACAAAUGUGUAAUUAACUAUGCACUUCUUGACGGUACCUAAUCAGAAAGCCACGGCUAACUACGUG
RNAcentral lists this ribosomal RNA (497 nucleotides) under uncultured bacterium. RNAcentral's name for it is "partial 16S ribosomal RNA". It matches the Rfam family "Bacterial small subunit ribosomal RNA", at positions 28 to 507 of the family's 1533-position model. The record is from RNAcentral.